GAGUUUGAUUCUGGCUCAUGACGAACGCUAGCGGCAGGCCUAAUACAUGCAAGUCGAACGGUAAGGUCUCUUCGGAGAUACACGAGUGGCGCACGGGUGCGUAACACGUAUGCAACCUACCCAUCAGCGGGGGAUAGUCGCGGGAAACUGCGAAUAAUACCCCAUAUGCUCCCGAAUCGGCAUCGAUUUGAGAGGAAAGCUCCGGCGCUGAUGGAUGGGCAUGCGUCCCAUUAGCUAGUUGGGGAGGUAACGGCUCACCAAGGCAACGAUGGGUAACUGGUCUGAGAGGAUGAUCAGUCACACGGGCACUGAGACACGGGCCCGACUCCUACGGGAGGCAGCAGUAAGGAAUAUUGGACAAUGGGCGCAAGCCUGAUCCAGCCAUGCCGCGUGGUGGAUGACGGCCCUCCGGGUUGUAAACACCUUUUAUUUGGGGAUAAUGGUUUCCUAUAUGGGGACUUGCAGGUACCAGAUGAAUAAGCACCGGCUAACUACGUGCCAGCAGCCGCGGUAAUACGUAGGGUGCAAGCGUUGUCCGGAUUUAUUGGGUUUAAAGGGUGCGUAGGCGGCUGAUUAAGUUAG
This 582-nucleotide ribosomal RNA is filed under the name uncultured Cytophagales bacterium. RNAcentral's name for it is "bacterial SSU rRNA". It matches the Rfam family "Bacterial small subunit ribosomal RNA", at positions 9 to 591 of the family's 1533-position model. Lineage: Bacteria; Pseudomonadati; Bacteroidota; Sphingobacteriia; Sphingobacteriales. The record is from RNAcentral.